AUGCAGCCGGUGCUCGCCCUUGGCUGUUUGAUAUAUGAUGCUGGCCAGCUAGUGGCCACUGGUGCUUGCUGUGCCGCUGCUGCUAGGCUGCUCCUUGUGUCCAUAAUUACUGCUCCAUGGUUGGUGUCGUGCGAAUCUCCCACUGCUAGUAGACUAGGCUUAUGGGCUACCGAUGUCGUAUGUGAAAGAAAAAAGAUAGAGAUCAUGGGCGGGCUACCUCCACUUUGGCCUUGCUGUAGCUCCGCCAGUGCUCGUGUCAUUCAUGAUCGUUCAACUACAAAUGCUCUCAUACUCUUAUAA
RNAcentral lists this ribosomal RNA (300 nucleotides) under Triticum aestivum (bread wheat). RNAcentral's name for it is "partial small subunit ribosomal RNA". The record is from RNAcentral. Lineage: Eukaryota; Viridiplantae; Streptophyta; Magnoliopsida; Poales; Poaceae.